RNAcentral lists this ribosomal RNA (820 nucleotides) under uncultured eukaryote. Its description in RNAcentral is "SSU rRNA". It matches the Rfam family "Eukaryotic small subunit ribosomal RNA", at positions 629 to 1426 of the family's 1831-position model. The record is from RNAcentral.
CGGUGUUUAACUGGCGUGAUGUGGGACGUCCUACCGGUGGGCUUAGCCUCGCGAGGGGCGGCCCAACUAAUAUCCCGUCGCGGUGCUCUUUACUGAGUGUCGAGUCGGGCCGGUACGUUUACUUUGAACAAAUUAGAGUGCUUAAAGCAGGCUAUCCUCGCCUGAAUACUGCGUGCAUGGAAUAAUGGAAUAGGACCUCGGUUCUAUUUUGUUGGUUUUCGGAACCCCGAGGUAAUGAUUAAUAGGGACAGAUGGGGGCAUUCGUAUUGCGACGUUAGAGGUGAAAUUCUUGGAUCGUCGCAAGACGGACAGAAGCGAAAGCAUUUGCCAAAAAUGUUUUCAUUAAUCAAGAACGAAAGUUAGAGGUUCGAAGGCGAUCAGAUACCGCCCUAGUUCUAACCAUAAACGAUGCCAGCUAGCGAUCCGCCGAAGUUCCUCCGAUGACUCGGCGGGCAGCUUCCGGGAAACCAAAGCUUUUGGGUUCCGGGGGAAGUAUGGUUGCAAAGCUGAAACUUAAAGGAAUUGACGGAAGGGCACCACCAGGAGUGGAGCCUGCGGCUUAAUUUGACUCAACACGGGAAACCUCACCAGGCCCAGACACCGGAAGGAUUGACAGAUUGAUAGCUCUUUCUUGAUUCGGUGGGUGGUGGUGCAUGGCCCGUUCUUAGUUGGUGGAGCGAUUUGUCUGGUUAAUUCCGAUAACGAACGAGACUCUAGCCUGCUAAAUAGGCGUACCUUAUGGUAUCGCGAAGGCCCCCGGCUUCGGCCGGUGGGUUUUUACUACCAACGUACAAACAAAUCUUCUUAGAGGGACAGGCAG